GACGAACGCUGGCGGCGUGCUUAACACAUGCAAGUCGAACGGAAAGGCCCUGCUUUUGUGGGGUGCUCGAGUGGCGAACGGGUGAGUAACACGUGAGUAACCUGCCCUUGACUUUGGGAUAACUUCAGGAAACUGGGGCUAAUACCGGAUAGGAGCUCCUGCUGCAUGGUGGGGGUUGGAAAGUUUCGGCGGUUGGGGAUGGACUCGCGGCUUAUCAGCUUGUUGGUGGGGUAGUGGCUUACCAAGGCUUUGACGGGUAGCCGGCCUGAGAGGGUGACCGGCCACAUUGGGACUGAGAUACGGCCCAGACACCUACGGGAGGCAGCAGUGGGGAAUAUUUGCACAAUGGGCGGAAGCCUGAUGCAGCAACGCCGCGUGCGGGAUGACGGCCUUCGGGUUGUAAACCGCUUUCGCCUGUGACGAAGCGUGAGUGACGGUAAUGGGUAAAGAAGCACCGGCUAACUACGUG
Molecule: ribosomal RNA, 469 nt
Filed under: uncultured bacterium
Lineage: Bacteria
Description: partial 16S ribosomal RNA
Rfam family: Bacterial small subunit ribosomal RNA
Source: RNAcentral